Molecule: ribosomal RNA, 539 nt
Filed under: Prymnesium parvum
Lineage: Eukaryota; Haptophyta; Prymnesiales; Prymnesiaceae
Description: partial Bacterial small subunit ribosomal RNA
Rfam family: Bacterial small subunit ribosomal RNA
Source: RNAcentral
CUGAAGAGUUUGAUCCUGGCUCAGAUUGAACGCUGGCGGCAGGCCUAACACAUGCAAGUCGAGCGGUAACAGAGAGUAGCUUGCUACUUUGCUGACGAGCGGCGGACGGGUGAGUAAUGCUUAGGAAUCUGCCAUUUAGUGGGGGACAACAUUCCGAAAGGGAUGCUAAUACCGCAUACGCCCUACGGGGGAAAGCAGGGGAUCUUCGGACCUUGCGCUAAUAGAUGAGCCUAAGUCAGAUUAGCUAGUUGGUGGGGUAAAGGCCUACCAAGGCGACGAUCUGUAGCGGGUCUGAGAGGAUGAUCCGCCACACUGGGACUGAGACACGGCCCAGACUCCUACGGGAGGCAGCAGUGGGGAAUCUUAGACAAUGGGCGCAAGCCUGAUCUAGCCAUGCCGCGUGUGUGAUGAAGGUCUUAGGAUCGUAAAGCACUUUCGCCAGGGAUGAUAAUGACAGUACCUGGUAAAGAAACCCCGGCUAACUCCGUGCCAGCAGCCGCGGUAAUACGGAGGGGGUUAGCGUUGUUCGGAAUUACUGG